UGCCAACUUUCAAAACUAUUUUCAUCAAAGCCACAUAAAAGCGGUAACUGUGCAGUGUUCACACGCAUUACAACAAUCCCACGUCAUGUCUCAUCUGGGACUGGACCGCUAUUCUGAAAAGAUGCAGUUUUCCACAAGAAAGGAGGCGCAGCUGGAUCCAAAAUAGCCGAAAUUGUAUCUGUUGCUGACCAGAAUAAUUCGAUUGUAAAAAGAAGUGGCAUCCCCCAAGCCCUUGAAGCAUAUCUUAAUGAGGACCCUGCCAAGCUAGUGUAUGAGUAUAAAAGCGAGAACCCUGAAGAAACAAGUGCAAAACUGGAACAGAUCAUGAUGGGAAUCUAUGUGAUCAAACAUCCAGGUGAAGAUGCUGCUCAGUAACCAGAGGACUUUGGGAUCAACGUUGAAGGUGUUACAGUCCUUCAUGAACUCAAAGAUUGCCAGUGCUCAUGCACUACCGUUUGGCCUCGUGCAUGACCUUAACCUGAGCAACCCCCCUGACCUCAAGUACAUUUUUGAAAAUAUUCAAAAGGUCCUCAUGGAGCUGGAGUCACAUCAGCUAUUUCAUCUAAAGUCCAGAUGUUGAAAAAUAAGCUGCUGAACUAAUGUCCUACACACACAGUUUUUGUUACCCGGGACAUUGUUCAUUGUGGUUGGAGAUUUUGGCAUUUUCCUAAAACCUUUUAUGUUGCUUUCUGCUGAUUGGCUAUACCUGUUAACUUUUUUUAUAAAUAGUUUUUUUUAUGGAAAAGCCUGUUUUGAUGAUGUUGUGGUCAAACUCUAGAAGGUGCUGUUAAGACUAAUUUUAUUGCUGUGACCCCCCAUUGUUCAUUGUGCAUUGGGGCAUUUUCUGGCUGGACCAGUUGACUGUUUUGUAAACUGUUUAAGGAAAAGACUAUUUUGCUUGUUGGCUGUCUAAAUAAAAGGGAUAUUAUGACUAAUUUUGUCUAUUUUCAUUUCUCCCUUCCAUCUUACAAGCUUUAUAAAUAU
Oryzias latipes (Japanese medaka) is the source of this 984-nucleotide long non-coding RNA. RefSeq lists it as uncharacterized. The record is from RefSeq and is a predicted model, not a curated record. Lineage: Eukaryota; Metazoa; Chordata; Actinopteri; Beloniformes; Adrianichthyidae.